This 76-nucleotide transfer RNA is filed under the name Oscillospiraceae bacterium. Its description in RNAcentral is "tRNA-Thr". It matches the Rfam family "tRNA". From Rfam's summary of the family: Transfer RNA (tRNA) molecules are approximately 80 nucleotides in length. Their secondary structure includes four short double-helical elements and three loops (D, anti-codon, and T loops). Further hydrogen bonds mediate the characteristic L-shaped molecular structure. tRNAs have two regions of fundamental functional importance: the anti-codon, which is responsible for specific mRNA codon recognition, and the 3' end, to which the tRNAs corresponding amino acid is attached (by aminoacyl-tRNA synthetases). tRNAs cope with the degeneracy of the genetic code in two manners: having more than one tRNA (with a specific anti-codon) for a particular amino acid; and 'wobble' base-pairing, i.e. permitting non-standard base-pairing at the 3rd anti-codon position. Lineage: Bacteria; Bacillati; Bacillota; Clostridia; Eubacteriales; Oscillospiraceae. The record is from RNAcentral.
GCUGCUGUGGCUCAGUUGGUAGAGCAGCGCAUUCGUAAUGCGCAGGUCACCAGUUCGAAUCUGGUCAGCAGCUCCA